Cricetulus griseus (Chinese hamster) is the source of this 234-nucleotide unclassified non-coding RNA. Ensembl annotates it as predicted gene, 27522. NCBI's taxonomy places the organism in Eukaryota, Metazoa, Chordata, Mammalia, Rodentia, Cricetidae. The record is from Ensembl.
GGAAAAUUCUUUAUGCUGAAUGGAUUUCUGUUUCUGUGCCGUUUGUGCUCAUUGGAGCCAUAUGGGAUAAAAUGUCUAAAGCCGCUUCCACAAAUAUUUGAAGACUGCGGACACAUUUCCGCCUUCCCUUACUCCACAAGGCCCCUUUUCUUUAGACUAAACAUGCCCAGUUAUUUCAAACAGCGAGGCAGUGUGGGGCAGUGGAAGGAACGCCAGCUCUGGAGCCAGACACAU